This 204-nucleotide ribosomal RNA is filed under the name uncultured archaeon. RNAcentral's name for it is "partial 16S ribosomal RNA". It matches the Rfam family "Archaeal small subunit ribosomal RNA", at positions 345 to 552 of the family's 1478-position model. The record is from RNAcentral.
AACCUUUACAAUGCACGAAAGUGUGAUAAGGGAACUCAAAGUGCUUAGCUAUGCUAGGCUUCUGCCGAGAGUAAAUAUCUCGGAGAAUAAGUGGUGGGCAAGACUGGUGCCAGCCGCCGCGGUAACACCAGCUCCACAAGUGGCAAUCGUAUUUAUUUGGCCUAAAGCGUCCGUAGCUGGUUAAGUAAAUCUCUUGUGAAAUCG